RNAcentral lists this ribosomal RNA (501 nucleotides) under uncultured bacterium. RNAcentral's name for it is "bacterial SSU rRNA". It matches the Rfam family "Bacterial small subunit ribosomal RNA", at positions 9 to 507 of the family's 1533-position model. The record is from RNAcentral.
GAGUUUGAUCAUGGCUCAGAUUGAACGCUGGCGGCAUGCUUUACACAUGCAAGUCGAGCGGCAGCGCGGGGCGAACCCUGGCGGCGAGCGGCGAACGGGUGAGUAAUGCAUCGGAACGUACCCGCAGUGGGGGAUAACCCAGCGAAAGCUGGGCUAAUACCGCAUAUGCUCUACGGAGGAAAGUGGGGGACUCGCAAGGGCCUCACGCUAUGGGAGCGGCCGAUGUCCGAUUAGCUAGUUGUGGGGUAAUGGCCCACCAAGGCGACGAUCGGUAGCUGGUCUGAGAGGAUGAUCAGCCACACUGGGACUGAGACACGGCCCAGACUCCUACGGGAGGCAGCAGUGGGAAUUUGGACAAUGGGGGCAACCCUGAUCCAGCCAUGCCGCGUGCGGGAAGAAGGCCUUCGGGUUGUAAACCGCUUUUGGUCGGGAAGAAAAGGCAACUCCUAAUACGAGGUGUUCUUGACGGUACCGGCAGAAUAAGCACCGGCUAACUACGUG